This is a non-coding RNA of Delphinapterus leucas (beluga whale), 5648 nucleotides long. NCBI's taxonomy places the organism in Eukaryota, Metazoa, Chordata, Mammalia, Artiodactyla, Monodontidae. The record is from RefSeq and is a predicted model, not a curated record.
ACUAACACAGCAUUGUAAAGCAAUUAUACUCCAAUGGAGAUAUAAAAAAAAUUUUUUUUUAAAGUUGGGAUAUCUCACUUUGAGGAGUUGGAUGUGAUGGUGACAGCUGUGGGCAUCAAUGUAUAUAUCUCAAAAGGAGUUAAAGCUCAGCAGGACUGAUCGAUGGACCAUUUCUUAGAACUGUUUAUUAGGAAACAGUUUGAAACUUAUAGAAGACUUGCAGUUUGAAACUUACAGAAAAUUUGCAAGUCGUAUAGAAAAAGACUGCCCAAUAGCCUUUACCCAGCUGCACUUACCGUUUAUAAUUUGUCCUGUGUGCUCUCUUUCUGUGUAAACAUUAUUCUUUGUCCCAUACUUUUGAAAUUGAGUUACAUACAUCAUGGCCCUUUGCUUUUAAAUACUUUAUGUGUAUCUCCUAAGAAAAAGGCUAUUCCCUUAAAAAUCCACAGCAGAGUUAGUAGCUUAACUAAUUUAACAUCAACACGGGACCUCUGUCUUAUCUACCAUCUCUAUUUCAGUUUUGUCAGUUCACCCACUCAGCAAUGUCCUUUACAGCCUGUUUUCCCUCCAGUACAGGAUACAAUUAAGGAUCACAUAUUUCUGAUCCUUUACUUAUCAUGUUUCUCUGGUCUCCUUUAAUUUGGAACAGCUCCCAGGAGCAGCAAGACACUUGAAAACUCUCAGAAAGUAAUAGGAUACCAUCCUUCUAGGGGAAAAAGUUGGGUGGCUCAGAGGUCAGAGUGGAGACUGAGACUUGCAUGCGAAAUUCGCAGACCAUCUUCCUGGGUGUGGUAGAGGUUUCCAGGGUAAAUCCCAAACACCAUUAAUCAGGGGUGAUAAUUUGGCUUUUUGAGGUCUUUCAGGACACCUGAGAAGAAACGUUUCUCAACGUUGUCCAUCAGCUGCCUUCUAUCUCAGCUGCCUCUGGGAUAAUCCUCUCCCUGUGUGAGGGCCGACCUGGAGGGCAGUGCUGAGCCUCUGAUCAGGCGCUAUCCCAUGGAUGCUCAGGGAACAGAAUCCCGCUGAAUGGAGCAUAGAUGUUUCUGAAGGUCUGAGGAUCUGUGCCCUUCUUCAGCCAAGGACUGCUGGUGGGAAUGUCAACUGAAGACCUCGAGCAGGAAACCUUUGUUACUUGAGUUUUUUAGGCAAGAAACAAUGAAAAAUUACUGUAUCCACUUCAAGAAAUGAAUAACAGAAAUGGAAAACUGAUCGUAACAAAUUGAAUACAGAAUACUAAAGCGUAGUAUUCGUGAAUAAUGAAUAUCAGCAUGUUGUCCAAAGAAAGGGGAAUGAGAAUGAAGUCCCCGACUCUCAUUCUUUUUUUGUCUUUUAGCAUCAGCAGGGCCAGGAAGAGGAUCAUUAACAGGAAGGUGGAACACUCACAGCUGUGAUUGUCCAUUAUUCGAUCAACAGUUAACCCCCAGGAACAGAAUCUAGGAUUUCCCAGGAAGGCAUUAUUAGCCUCCUUUCCUGCAGACAUUGUGGUGCAUCUUGGGAAGAGAAACUCAAAUUAGCUACCAAAAGAUAUCGGACUGCUGUCUCUGACGAUGUUCCAGUGCCCCCUGAGGGCUUCUGAGUGUAAUAAAAGCAAACGAAAAAGCGGCUUCGUAUGAAAUAAUUCACUAUGCAGGAACAAAGCUGAAUGUGGGACUCAAAGGAUCUCUGAAGUAAAGAUUAACCGCCAGUCAUCAGGAAACCUAAAGUCAUUUGAAAUAAGAGGUGCCACAAGCCAGAAGACAGAAGCCAUAAACACAUACAAUAUUAAUAAAGCAAUUACAGAAAUAUUAUACUGAGGGGAAACUAUAUCUCAUGAUGGAAGAAAUAUAGGAAUCACCCCAUUGAAUCGGUGAGGGAGAUGAAGCCGCAGUUCUGUGCUCCCAGACCCGCCCAGCAGAUGGCACCUUCCCCGUGGAGACCUAAGUUUUCACACUAUCUGGCUGAAAUCCUCCUUCAACUUCAUAUCGGGCUGCACACCAUCUCUUCCCGAACAGCCCACCAGAUCAUCAAAUUCAGCACGUUCCAGAUGGCGCGGAGGAUCUGCUGCCAGGGUAUUUGCCUUGUGGCCAGGAUUGGUGUCAUACGUUGGAUAUCUCCGAAAUAACCAAUACAUGGCUUCUCAGAACUUUAUUUCAUUUGGAACCUUUAUGUGAUGAUGUAAUAUGCCACAUAUGAAACUUUUCUAAUGAAAAAAGCCAGUAUUUCUGCUGCAAGUCAAAUUGCAUAGCCAGGAGGGGCAUGAUUUGGAGCAGACUCCACCUAAGUGUUUGGAUCUUCUGGAAUGUUGUCAGGGUGCUAGUUUCAGCUUGUCUCCAACCUUUCCAUCUCAGCCUAGCCUGGGACCUUAAGAUGAAACCUACCCACAGGUGGAUUUGGCAGAGCUUUGAGAUACUCUGUGAGAGAGAAAAAAGAAAAGAAAAGCGUUGGGUAUCAAAUACAUUUGAGGAAUUGCAGAAUUCUAAAUCUGCUGUUUGAAAACUCUCACGGCUUAUUAGCAUAUUAAGGCUUUGAGAAUUCCUAGAGCUCUACAAAAUUGGGUCUGUCCUGUUCCCUUUACUUUCCUGUCUUCAUCUCCCGCGUCUCUCUGUCACUCUCUAGCAACUCAAUUGAUAUGGGUUAGGCACAGGCACUUGUCUGUGGGUCUCCCGGCUGUUGGGUAAUCGAGGAGGCCCCAGUGAGAUGACUGGAGCAUCUUAGCUCUGUUGCAUGCGCCUCUCAUCCUUCAGCAAGCUAGCAAAGGCAUAAUCUCCUGACCGUCACAGAGACACAAGAGCCAGCAAGCCCUUCAGUGUGCUUAUAUCAAUUUGCUAAUGUUCUGUUGGCCAAAUCAGGUCACAUGGCCAGGCACAGACUCAGAGCAGGCAGGCACUGCAACGCUACAAAGCAAAAGGUGCCGAUACAGGAAGAAGUGAAUAAUUUGGGUUACUUUUGUAAACUACCAUAUGUGUUAGAACUUAAAAUUUUUUUUGUUUCCCUCUACUAGAAUAUAAGCUCCACAAAGGCAGGUUUUUUUAAAAUCUAUUUUGUUAACUACUUACUUUUAUUACUUAGAACAGUGCCCUGCACAUACUAGGUACUCAAUAGAUAUUUGUGAAUGAAUGCAUAAAAGUAAACCCAUUUAACUGUGUUUAAGCCAACAUUUUCAAAUAUGUUUUUCAGUUGAUCCCAUUAUUAGUGGAAAGCCAGAUGAAAUUUCAUUGGAAAGUAGAGAUCCUUCGGAUAUCUAUGCCUUUCUUACUGAGGAUGGAAACUCCAGUAAUUAAUGGAAAAUGAUGAUCUUUACAAAGAGAAAAAUCUCUCAGUAUUUAUUUUGCCUCCUUUCAUUCACCUAACUACUAAGUUUUAGUAAAUGACUUUCACGUAUCAGGUGUGUACUAGAUGCUCAUGGUAGUGGAGAGCGAGAAUACAGCUCCUGUCUCUGGGAAGUCUCAGAUGAGUUGAAGAACAAACCUAUAAAACUGAACUUUGACCAAUAUGAUAUGCGCCAUUGUAACGUUGUUAAAACAGCCCCCAAGAACACUAAGGAAGAAGUGUUCACAUGUGCCAUAAGAUAUGAGAGAGAGCAUUCUACCUUUGACUAUCAUAUCUAUUCAGACUGAUAAAGUCACUCUUCUAACACAACUUGCAUAUUGCCAACGUAGCUGUUCAUACCAUUUAAUCUCUUUGCCCAUCUGCACAUUCACCCUUGUUCUCUGUUCUUUCCAAAUCCUACCCAUUCUUCAAGUCUGACCAGCAAUGGAACAUUCUCUGAGUUUGCUUACAGUUUUCCCCUGAAUUCCAUAGCAUUUAUUGUCUGUAUCAUAGUCAUGUGUAAUACCUACAGACAUCUAUUCUACUGUUUUUUAAUUGACUAUUUAACCCUCCUAUUGUUCACCUUUUCAUGUGUGACUGUUUUGUCUUUUCAAAGAAUUAAUAACCAUCUUGAGGGUAGAGUUUGUGUUUCUUUUCUGGAAUUGCUAAAAAUAAUGCUUGCUAUUAUAGGUGCUCUGAUAGUUAAUUAGAAGGAUAUACUGAAAACUGAAAGUUUUAACUUCCGUUCAUCACCUAAUUAUGGUCAGGCCUGAUAAUGCAUGUGAGCUAUUGGCUGUCAGUACAGAAAUAUUUCUACUUAGAACUGGUGUUUAUGUACUGUCUUUAUGUUGGAAACCAGUUACUACUUUAUAUGAAGCUGCAACCACAAGCCAGUAUUUUUAACAGGUUGAAAUAAAACUGACAAAUAUUAAGAGGUUUGGAAAUGGGUAAGAGAAAAUUUUAAAAUGGUGAAAUGGCGAACUAUAAAUGCACAGGGAGUAAAGAGAUUUCUCUACUGGCAAAGAAUAUGUUGAAAAAGGGAACAAAGAAAAAACAAAGAAGUGUUACCUGCUGAUUUUUGGCUCCAGGGCAGAGCAGUGAAGCAUUUGUCAUCUGUCAAUUAGUUUUGCAAUUUCUGUACACCUGCAUAUUCUAUCCAUUAGCCCCAUAAGAGUGCCCUUUAGUGGGAAAUUUUGCUUAACAUGGUACUUGACGUGUGGGAAACUCCCCAAAUAAACCACAAAACAAUCAAAUCAAUUCAUUUAGGUUGAGAAGAAUCUGAAUCUUACAUUUGACUUGGAGGCCCUUGAAAAAGGCAAAAAGGAUCUCAUCAAUAUUCCAAGUAUUCACUGAAAGAAACUGCUCCAAGUCAUAGUAAUGAUGAUAAGAGAAAGGAAAUUGUUAGUUUACUCAUAGUCAUAGUAAUUAAAGCAUAAUAAUCUAUUCAGAUCCUAUUAAAGACUGUGUCUCACUCAAUACAUUUCCGGGCAGGUUUUAGGCCACAGGCCAUUCAAAACUCCUUUUUCUUAAGUUCUACAGUCUAAGGAAUUUCUUGCGCUCAUUCAUGGCUCUCUCAUAUUAGGGGAUGGGUGCUGUGUACAGCUGAUGGAUUAGCUUAUUGCUUAUGAACUUAUUUCCCAUUUUAAGUGAAUGCAUUUUGUUGGAGGUCCCAUUGGUAUCUGUAUGGUAUGAGUAUUCAUCUUUAAGCCUUAUCCUUUUGGAAUGAGCUGACUAUGGACGUCUCCACCUGCAUAGUUGAGAAACCUGUUGCUGGACUCAGAGUAAUCUCACGAAGGUCAGAAGCCUGACCUGGAAUAAUUUCUUUACCUCAAAAACUGGUAUUAGCUACAGACAUCAGUAAGCACACAGUAUACUAGAGCACAUACAAUUUUUUAAAAAAGAAAUGUUAUUUUUGCUGUAUUCUAUUAAACUUGAAUUUACUUCAUUCUCACAUUUUUCCUUUCAUUUAUGCUAUAUGUAGGUAUUAUAAGGGAAAAGAUUGUUAUUUGAUUACAUUAAGAUCAGUCCAGUCCUAGCUAAUACAAUAAGACAAGGCAAGACUGAGAAAGAAGAUAUGAAAUUGUCUUUAUUCACAGAUGAUAUGAUCAUCUAUGUAAAAUAUCCAAAAGAAUUAACAAAAUAACUCCUGGAACUAAUGAACAACUACAGCAAGGUUGCAGGAUACAAGGUUAAUAUACAAAAAUCAUUUCACUUCCCUGUGUACUAGCAAUGAAAAAGUGGAAUUUGAAAUUGAAACUAUAAUACCAUUUAUAUUAGCACCCCCCAAAAUGAAAUACUGAGGUUAUAAAUCUAACAAAAUAUGUGCAAGAUCUAUAUGAAGAAAACUGCAGAACUCUGAU